CUUUGGCGGCUCCGGCCGCCAAAGGACCUUCAAACUCCAGUCAGUAAACGCAGACGUCUGAUAAACAAGUUAAUAAACUAAAACUUUCAACAACGGAUCUCUUGGUUCUGGCAUCGAUGAAGAACGCAGCGAAAUGCGAUAAGUAAUGUGAAUUGCAGAAUUCAGUGAAUCAUCGAAUCUUUGAACGCACAUUGCGCCCCUUGGUAUUCCGGGGGGCAUGCCUGUUCGAGCGUCAUUACAACCCUCAAGCUCUGCUUGGAAUUGGGCACCGUCCUCACUGCGGACGCGCCUCAAAGACCUCGGCGGUGGCUGUUCAGCCCUCAAGCGUAGUAGAAUACACCUCGCUUUGGAGCGGUUGGCGUCGCCCGCCGGACGAACCUUCUGAACUUUUCUCAAGGUUGACCUCGGAUCAGGUAGGGAUACCCGCUGAACUUAAGCAUAUCAAUAAGCGGAGGAAAAGAAACCAACAGGGAUUGCCUUAGUAACGGCGAGUGAAGCGGCAACAGCUCAAAUUUGAAAGCUGGCCCUUUUAGGGUCCGCAUUGUAAUUUGUAGAGGAUGAUUCGGCGAGGGCUCCUGCCUAAGUCCCCUGGAACGGGGCGUCAUAGAGGGUGAGAAUCCCGUAUGCGGUAGGUUGCCUUAGCCAUGUGAAUCUCCUUCGACGAGUCGAGUUGUUUGGGAAUGCAGCUCUAAAUGGGAGGUAAAUUUCUUCUAAAGCUAAAUACCGGCCAGAGACCGAUAGCGCACAAGUAGAGUGAUCGAAAGAUGAAAAGCACUUUGGAAAGAGAGUUAAAAAGUACGUGAAAUUGUUGAAAGGGAAGCGCUUGCAACCAGACUUGUCCGCAGUUGCUCAGCCGGUCUCCUGACCGGCGUACUCUUCUGCGGCCAGGCCAGCAUCAGUUCGGGCGGUCGGAUAAAGGCCUCGGGAA
This 928-nucleotide ribosomal RNA is filed under the name fungal sp. Its description in RNAcentral is "eukaryotic LSU rRNA". The stretch from base 400 to 928 matches the Rfam family "Eukaryotic large subunit ribosomal RNA", at positions 1 to 534 of the family's 3401-position model. Lineage: Eukaryota; Fungi. The record is from RNAcentral.